GAUCAGGCUCAGGAUGAACGCUAGCGGCAGGCUUAACACAUGCAAGUCGAGGGGCAGCAUAAUGGAUAGCAAUAUCUAUGGUGGCGACCGGCGCACGGGUGCGUAACGCGUAUGCAACCUACCUUUAACAGGGGGAUAACACUGAGAAAUUGGUACUAAUACCCCAUAAUAUCAUAGAAGGCAUCUUUUAUGGUUGAAAAUUCCGAUGGUUAGAGAUGGGCAUGUGUUGUAUUAG
RNAcentral lists this ribosomal RNA (235 nucleotides) under uncultured bacterium. Its description in RNAcentral is "partial 16S ribosomal RNA". It matches the Rfam family "Bacterial small subunit ribosomal RNA", at positions 15 to 244 of the family's 1533-position model. The record is from RNAcentral.